GAUGAACGCUAGCGGCAGGCUUAAUACAUGCAAGUCGAGGGGCAGCACAGAUAGCAAUAUUGGGUGGCGACCGGCAAACGGGUGCGGAACACGUACACGACCUUCCUUUUAGUGUGGGAUAGCCCAGAGAAAUUUGGAUUAAUACCACAUAGUAUAUUGGAGUGGCAUCACUUUGAUAUUAAAGAUUUAUCGCAAAAAGAUGGGUGUGCGUAUGAUUAGGUAGUUGGUAGAGGUAACGGCUCACCAAGCCUUCGAUCAUUAACUGAUGUGAGGGCACGACCAGUCACACGGGCACUGAGACACGGGCCCGACUCCUACGGGAGGCAGCAGUAAGGAAUAUUGGUCAAUGGACGGAAGUCUGAACCAGCCAUGCCGCGUGAAGGAUGACGGCCCUCUGGGUUGUAACUUCUUUUAUGUGGGACGAAAAAGGGCCAUUUUUGGUCAACUGACGGUACCAUAGGAAUAAGCACCGGCUAACUCCGUGCCAGCAGCCGCAGUAA
This 500-nucleotide ribosomal RNA is filed under the name uncultured bacterium. RNAcentral describes it as "partial 16S ribosomal RNA". It matches the Rfam family "Bacterial small subunit ribosomal RNA", at positions 28 to 523 of the family's 1533-position model. The record is from RNAcentral.